This 179-nucleotide ribosomal RNA is filed under the name uncultured bacterium. RNAcentral describes it as "partial 16S ribosomal RNA". It matches the Rfam family "Bacterial small subunit ribosomal RNA", at positions 1306 to 1500 of the family's 1533-position model. The record is from RNAcentral.
UGAAACUCGCCUCUUUGAAGUCGGAAUCGCUAGUAAUCGCAGAUCAGCAUGUUGCGGUGAAUACGUUCCCGGGUCUUGUACACACCGCCCGUCAAACCAUGAGAGUCACCAACACCCGAAGUCCGCUUUGGCGGCCUAAGGUGGGGGAGAUGAUUGGGGUUAAGUCGUAACAAGGUACC